AUACGGAGGGUGCAAGCGUUAUUCGGAAUCACUGGGCGUAAAGGACACGUAGGCGGGAAGCCAAGUCUGAUGUGAAAUCCUACAGCUUAACUGUAGAACUGCAUUGGAAACUGGUUACCUAGAGUAUGGGAGGGGGAGAUGGAAUUAGUGGUGUAGGGGUAAAAUCCGUAGAUAUCACUAGGAAUACCUAAAGCGAAGGCGAUCUCCUGGAACAUUACUGACGCUAAGGUGUAAAAGCGUGGGGAGCAAACGGGAUUAGAAACCCUAGUAGUCC
This 274-nucleotide ribosomal RNA is filed under the name uncultured bacterium. Its description in RNAcentral is "partial 16S ribosomal RNA". It matches the Rfam family "Bacterial small subunit ribosomal RNA", at positions 523 to 796 of the family's 1533-position model. The record is from RNAcentral.